Molecule: long non-coding RNA, 368 nt
Filed under: Vigna radiata
Lineage: Eukaryota; Viridiplantae; Streptophyta; Magnoliopsida; Fabales; Fabaceae
Description: long non-coding RNA (VRAD_LNC007532)
Source: RNAcentral
CCCUUAACAAGUUAGUUUCAAUUUCAAUGAGAAAUUAUGAGUUUGGAUGGAUUAAAAAGGUAGUAGUUGAUAAGGCUUCCUUUCAUUAAUUGGACUUACUUUCAUUAAGUGAUGACUUAUGCAUAAGCUAUAACAGUAUUUUCUUCCUAAUAAAAAAAAAUCAGUAAAUUGUUAUGCAAGGCUAAUAUGUAUUUAUUUUAUUGAAUAGCUAACAUUGUGAUCUUAGAUAAUAGUGGUACAGCCAUACUCCUGUUUUAUUGAUAGUAGGACAGUUUUGACUAGGGAAACAUAUGAAAAGAAGAAAGAGGCAACAUGAACAGCAGAGAUUAUUUAGUUAAUGAUUAAGUUGGGUGCAGCUAUAUAUGNNN